AGACGUAGGGGGCGAGCGUUGUCCGGAAUUACUGGGCGUAAAGGGCGCGCAGGCGGCGUGUCAAGUCGGACGUGAAAACCCCUGGCUCAACUGGGGGAGGUCGUUCGAAACUGGCAUGCUUGAGUGCAGGAGAGGGAAGCGGAAUUCCCGGUGUAGCGGUGAGAUGCGUAGAUAUCGGGAGGAACACCAGUGGCGAAGGCGGCUUCCUGGACUGUAACUGACGCUGAGGCGCGAAAGCUGGGGGAGCGAACAGGAUUAGAUACCCUGGUAGUCCCAGCCAUAAACGAUGAACACUAGGUGUGGGAGGUAUCGACCCCUCCCGUGCCGCAGCUAACGCAUUAAGUGUUCCGCCUGGGGAGUACGGCCGCAAGGCUAAA
Molecule: ribosomal RNA, 377 nt
Filed under: uncultured bacterium
Lineage: Bacteria
Description: bacterial SSU rRNA
Rfam family: Bacterial small subunit ribosomal RNA
Source: RNAcentral